RNAcentral lists this ribosomal RNA (462 nucleotides) under uncultured Listeria sp. Its description in RNAcentral is "bacterial LSU rRNA". It matches the Rfam family "Bacterial large subunit ribosomal RNA", at positions 1631 to 2090 of the family's 2925-position model. Lineage: Bacteria; Bacillati; Bacillota; Bacilli; Caryophanales; Listeriaceae. The record is from RNAcentral.
GCGGGAGGUGCCCGUACCGCAAACCGACACAGGUAGGCGAGAAGAGAAUUCUAAGGUGAGCGAGUGAACUCUCGUUAAGGAACUCGGCAAAAUGACCCCGUAACUUCGGGAGAAGGGGUGCUCUGGUAGGGUGUAUAGCCCGAGAGAGCCGCAGUGAAUAGGCCCAGGCGACUGUUUAGCAAAAACACAGGUCUCUGCAAAACCGUAAGGUGACGUAUAGGGGCUGACGCCUGCCCGGUGCUGGAAGGUUAAGGGGAGUGCUUAGCGCAAGCGAAGGUGCGAACUGAAGCCCCAGUAAACGGCGGCCGUAACAAUAACGGUCCUAGGGUAGCGAAAUUCCUUGUCGGGUAAGUUCCGACCCGCACGAAAGGCGUAACGAUUUGGGCACUGUCUCAACAACAGACUCGGUGAAAUUGUAGUUCCGGUGAAGAUGCCGGAUACCUGCGACAGGACGGAAAGACC